RNAcentral lists this unclassified non-coding RNA (188 nucleotides) under plant metagenome. Its description in RNAcentral is "partial contains small subunit ribosomal RNA and internal transcribed spacer 1". The stretch from base 1 to 46 matches the Rfam family "Eukaryotic small subunit ribosomal RNA", at positions 1786 to 1831 of the family's 1831-position model. The record is from RNAcentral.
AAGUCGUAACAAGGUUUUCGUAGGUGAACCUGCGGAAGGAUCAUUAGUGAGACGACGGAUUCCUCUGCAAAGAGAAGGUCCGAUCCACUAUCACACACACUUGUGCACUUGUCAUUUUUACAAAUUCUAUUUGUAUUACAACUUUUGCAUUGAAACAGUUGAUUGUACAAACUUAAACGAAAGAAAAA